Long non-coding RNA from Electrophorus electricus (electric eel), 461 nucleotides. RefSeq lists it as uncharacterized. The record is from RefSeq and is a predicted model, not a curated record. Lineage: Eukaryota; Metazoa; Chordata; Actinopteri; Gymnotiformes; Gymnotidae.
UGCAAAUACAUAAAGCAUAUUCAUCAAAAUGAUAACACUUGCGAUACAUUUCACAAACGCGCCGCAAAUGCACAAAGCACAUUCAUCAAAAUGGCUACACAACCCGGUGCAAAUUCAGAAAACACGCAAAUCCAUUCCCAACACAACAGAAGUGCUGCUUCCGGAGGACACGGAGCGCGGUGGACUUCAAUGAGACCAUCGGGAAGCAGCAACAACCAAGUUAAAAAUCACAGUGUUUUGUCCUUUCUGUUGCUUCAGAUUGGAAAAAAACACCAAAGUUUUGCAGCUCUUGUGGGUGUAAUGUACAGUUUUUAGAAGAGGCCAAAUCUGCACUGUCUAUAUCUACGGAUGAAGACUGUGGACCAUCUCAUGGCAGAGGUGGACACAUCUGAGGUGGAUGUUGGUGCAGUUCUGUCCCAGUGAUCAGGAGACGACAAAAAGGAAGGUAGUGGUGGAGGAGG